Non-coding RNA from Bombyx mori (domestic silkworm), 141 nucleotides. The record is from RefSeq and is marked provisional. Lineage: Eukaryota; Metazoa; Arthropoda; Insecta; Lepidoptera; Bombycidae.
AAUUAACACAAAUGCUUUCUUUUCAAAAUAGUCAGGUGGAUAAGAAGCAAGAAUUAUUUGAACUAAUAUCAAUAAUGUUUAUUCAAGAAAUAAAGCACAUGGUAUCGACUAUUCCGGACUAACUUUGGGAAGUCAAGCCGU